GAUGAACGCUAGCGGCAGGCCUAAUACAUGCAAGUCGAACGAUAUUUUCCAGCUUGCUGGGAGAGAAAGUGGCGCACGGGUGCGUAACGCGUAUGCAACCUACCUUUAUCAGGGGGAUAGCCCGGAGAAAUCCGGAUUAAUACCGCAUAAAAUCACAGAACGGCAUUGUUCAAUGAUCAAACAUUUAUGGGAUAAAGAUGGGCAUGCGUGUCAUUAGCUAGUUGGCGGGGUAACGGCCCACCAAGGCGACGAUGACUAGGGGAUCUGAGAGGAUGGCACACAACACUGGUACUGAGAAACAGACCAGACUCCUACGGGAGGCAGCAGUAAGGAAUAUUGGUCAAUGGAGGCAACUCUGAACCAGCCAUGCCGCGUGCAGGAAGACUGCCCUAUGGGUUGUAAACUGCUUUUAUCCGGGAAUAAACCUCCGAUCGUGAUCGGAGCUGAAUGUACCGGAAGAAUAAGGAUCGGCUAACUCCGUGCCAGCAGCCGCCGUAA
RNAcentral lists this ribosomal RNA (498 nucleotides) under uncultured bacterium. RNAcentral describes it as "partial 16S ribosomal RNA". It matches the Rfam family "Bacterial small subunit ribosomal RNA", at positions 28 to 523 of the family's 1533-position model. The record is from RNAcentral.